AUGGAUACCGGCGGUUUUGAUCCGCGCCGGAUCCUCGAAGCGCUCAACGGGGAGUCGUGCCGCGGACCAGCGCCGGAGCAAUGGAGGGAUGGCGGUGAAGGACCGAUGGGCGGCGGCGGGCGAAGGAGGGCACUCGCAAGAUCCAGACGAGACCUCGCUCGAGGGCACGAGUACUCGUUCGAGACCAAUGCCGUUUUUUUUUCGCUGAUUAAUCUUCGACGUGAGCAGGAUGACUAUGAAGUUGUGAGGAAAGUUGGAAGGGGCAAAUACAGUGAAGUCUUUGAAGGUAUCAACGUCAACAAUAAUGAGAAAUGUGUUAUUAAGAUCCUGAAGCCUGUGAAGAAGAAGAAGAUCAAAAGAGAGAUCAAAAUACUACAGAAUCUCUGUGGAGGUCCAAAUAUUGUGAAGCUGCUUGAUAUUGUCAGGGAUCAGCAUUCAAAAACACCAAGCUUGAUCUUUGAAUACAUCAAUAACACAGAUUUCAAAGUGCUAUAUCCGACACUGACAGAUUAUGACAUUCGCUAUUAUAUCUAUGAGUUACUGAAGGCUUUGGAUUACUGCCAUUCACAAGGCAUUAUGCACCGAGAUGUGAAGCCUCACAAUGUUAUGAUAGAUCAUGAGCUUCGAAAACUCCGGUUAAUAGACUGGGGCCUUGCUGAAUUCUACCAUCCUGGAAAGGAGUAUAACGUUCGUGUUGCAUCAAGGUACUUCAAGGGACCUGAGCUUCUUGUUGACUUACAAGAUUACGACUACUCUUUGGACAUGUGGAGUCUUGGCUGCAUGUUUGCUGGAAUGAUAUUCCGCAAGGAACCAUUUUUCUAUGGCCAUGACAACCAUGAUCAACUUGUUAAAAUUGCAAAGGUACUUGGAACAGAUGGGCUAAAUGCUUAUUUGAACAAGUACAGAAUUGAGCUUGACCCUCAGCUUGAAGCCCUUGUUGGAAGGCACAGCAGAAAACCCUGGUCGAAGUUUAUCAAUGCAGACAACCAGCAUCUAGUAUCCCCUGAGGCCAUAGAUUUCCUUGAUAAGCUUCUGCAGUAUGAUCACCAGGAUAGGCUCACUGCACGUGAAGCUAUGGCACAUCCAUACUUCCUCCAGGUGAGGGCUGCCGAAAACAGCAGGACUCGUGUGCAAUAG
This 1137-nucleotide ribosomal RNA is filed under the name Triticum aestivum (bread wheat). RNAcentral describes it as "partial small subunit ribosomal RNA". Lineage: Eukaryota; Viridiplantae; Streptophyta; Magnoliopsida; Poales; Poaceae. The record is from RNAcentral.